GAACGCUGGCGGCAUGCCUUACACAUGCAAGUCGAACGGUAACGGCGGGGCAACCUGGCGACGAGUGGCGAACGGGUGAGUAAUAUAUCGGAACGUGCCCAGUAGUGGGGGAUACGCCCGGCGAAAGCCGGAUUAAUACCGCAUGAGACCUGAGGGUGAAAGCGGGGGAUCGCAAGACCUCGCGCUAUUGGAGCGGCCGAUAUCAGAUUAGGUAGUUGGUGGGGUAAAGGCCUACCAAGCCGACGAUCUGUAGCUGGUCUGAGAGGACGACCAGCCACACUGGGACUGAGACACGGCCCAGACUCCUACGGGAGGCAGCAGUGGGGAAUUUUGGACAAUGGGCGCAAGCCUGAUCCAGCCAUGCCGCGUGCGGGAAGAAGGCCUUCGGGUUGUAAACCGCUUUUGUCAGGGAAGAAAUCUUCUGGGCUAAUACCUCGGGAGGAUGACGGUACCUGAAGAAUAAGCACCGGCUAACUACGUG
Molecule: ribosomal RNA, 481 nt
Filed under: uncultured bacterium
Lineage: Bacteria
Description: bacterial SSU rRNA
Rfam family: Bacterial small subunit ribosomal RNA
Source: RNAcentral